This 49-nucleotide transfer RNA is filed under the name Riccardoella tokyoensis. Its description in RNAcentral is "tRNA-Cys". The record is from RNAcentral. Lineage: Eukaryota; Metazoa; Arthropoda; Arachnida; Trombidiformes; Ereynetidae.
AUAGUAAUUUUAUAAGUUGCAAACUUAUUUAUGAUUAAUUCUUACUAUU